Molecule: ribosomal RNA, 469 nt
Filed under: uncultured bacterium
Lineage: Bacteria
Description: partial 16S ribosomal RNA
Rfam family: Bacterial small subunit ribosomal RNA
Source: RNAcentral
GAUGAACGCUGGCGGCGUGCUUAACACAUGCAAGUCGAACGGUGAAGGCGGAGCUUGCUCUGCUGGAUCAGUGGCGAACGGGUGAGUAACACGUGAGCAAUCUGCCCCUGACUCUGGGAUAAGCGCUGGAAACGGCGUCUAAUACUGGAUACGAGCUGCGAAGGCAUCUUCAGCAGCUGGAAAGAAUUUCGGUCAGGGAUGAGCUCGCGGCCUAUCAGCUUGUUGGUGAGGUAAUGGCUCACCAAGGCGUCGACGGGUAGCCGGCCUGAGAGGGUGACCGGCCACACUGGGACUGAGACACGGCCCAGACUCCUACGGGAGGCAGCAGUGGGGAAUAUUGCACAAUGGGCGAAAGCCUGAUGCAGCAACGCCGCGUGAGGGACGACGGCCUUCGGGUUGUAAACCUCUUUUAGCAGGGAAGAAGCGAAAGUGACGGUACCUGCAGAAAAAGCGCCGGCUAACUACGUGC